GACGAACGCUGGCGGCGUGCUUAACACAUGCAAGUCGAACGGCAAGGCCCUGCUUUUGUUGGGUGCUCGAGUGGCGAACGGGUGAGUAACACGUGAGUAACCUGCCCUUGACUUUGGGAUAACUUCAGGAAACUGGUGCUAAUACCGGAUAGGAGCUCCUGCUGCAUGGUGGGGGUUGGAACGUUUCGGCGGUUGGGGAUGGACUCGCGGCUUAUCAGCUUGUUGGUGGGGUAGUGGCUUACCAAGGCUUUGACGGGUAGCCGGCCUGAGAGGGUGACCGGCCACAUUGGGACUGAGGGACGGCCCAGUCUCCUACGGGAGGCAACGGUGGGGAAUAUUACACAAUGGGCGGAAGCGUGAGACAGCAGCGCCGCGUGCGGGAUGACGGCCUUCGGGUUGUGAACCGCUUUCGCCUGUGACGAAGCGUGAAUGACGGUAAUGGAUAAAGAAGCACCGGCUAACUACGUG
This 468-nucleotide ribosomal RNA is filed under the name uncultured bacterium. RNAcentral's name for it is "partial 16S ribosomal RNA". It matches the Rfam family "Bacterial small subunit ribosomal RNA", at positions 28 to 507 of the family's 1533-position model. The record is from RNAcentral.